Long non-coding RNA from Acinonyx jubatus (cheetah), 3516 nucleotides. RefSeq lists it as uncharacterized. NCBI's taxonomy places the organism in Eukaryota, Metazoa, Chordata, Mammalia, Carnivora, Felidae. The transcript is spliced from 3 exons. The record is from RefSeq and is a predicted model, not a curated record.
UCAGGCCGCGAACGCGGCAGGCCAACAGCCGGUCAGCGUUGUUGGCUCCCUGCUUCCUUGGCGUCGUCAAGCCGGCACCGGGGCCCUGAUGUGCAGCGCUCGGGAAGCAGCGAGGUGGGCGGCUCAGUCGCAGCAGCAGGUACCUUAGGGACGAGAAAAAAUAUGUAAAAGGACGUCUUGCUACAAAAGGGGUUGUGCUCAUUCCAAGACAAUGCAUUUAGAAAUUUUACUCUUACGGUAGCUAUUUGAACCGUUGUAGAGAUUAAUAAAAAAUGUUUCUCUAAAAAGAGAAAAAAAAUCAAACUUUACUGGAAGCUGAAGUUUAGAUCUACCCUAUCCAGACUGUCUGCUUUUACUCCGGGGAUUGGUAUUGAUAUUUAUUUUCCCCAGAAAGCAGGUCGUGAUCUCACGGUUUUGUGAGUCAAGCCCCGCAUUGGGCCCUGCACUGGUAGCAUGAAGCCUGCUUGGGAUUCUCUGUCUCUGCUCUCUGCCCCUCCCCACUCAUGCUGUCUUUGUCUCUGUCAAAAAUAAACUUAAAAAAAAAACAAAAGGUCUGGGAGAGAGAGGAGUAUAUAGGUGGACUCUGAGUAGACAAGAAGUGUACAGAUGCCCUGCAGAGAGUAUCUACCCGGAAAGAGGCCCUAAAGAACAAGUAGGAAGAAUAACUUGCCAGUUGAUGGCCCCCAGAUGCUAUCAGCCCCCUCAGUACCAGCACAAUGGGUAUGUGAAUGGAGCAGCCAUGGUAGCAGGAAUGGGAGUAAUACAUGGAUCCAAGAACAUAGGCUCCACUCACAAAAGCUGAGGCCACUGCUGAAUGCCCAAACUACCAGCAAUUAAUCCAAUGCUGAGCCCCCCAAAUGGCAAUAUUCCUCAAGGAGAGCAACCAGGCUGGAUGACAAGUUGACUGCGUUGGAUACUCUCCAUCCUGGAAAAGGCAACAAUUUAUUUUGACUGAAAUUGCUACAUUCUGGGUGUUUGCUUUUUUCUCCCUGCAGGGUCUCAGCCAGCACCAGUAUCUUUUGAGUGUUACUGAAUGUGUGACCUAUUGACAUAGGAUCCCAUAUAACAGUGCAUCAGACCAAAGGACCCAUUGCACAGCAAAGGAGGCAUGACCGUGGCACGUGACCAUGGGAUCCACUGGCCUUAUCACAUUCUAUACCAUCCAGAUGCCAGCAUGAACAGAAGAAGUAGACUAAAGGCAUAGCUGAGGUCCCGGCACAGAGAUGAUACCAACUAAGGAUAGGGUACCACCUUCCAUGAUACCAUGUACACUCUGUCAACAGUCAGUAUGGUGCUAUGUCCCAAUAAGAACAGAUAGGUCCAGAAGCAAGUGGUGGAAGUAGGAGUGGCUUCACGUACCAUUAAGCCCAGUGAUCCCAUUGGGUAUUUCUCACUGCACCUGUGGACUUUGAGGGUUUUGAGGCCCUGGUUCCCAAAAUGGAAGUAUUUUCACCAGGGGCUAUAACAAAAAUCCUAUUCAACUUUAACCUUCAGGUGCCACCAGACACUUUGAGCUCCUUAUGCCAAGGGGCCAGCAGGCAAGGAGCAGGCGUCACCAUCCUAGCAGCAGUAAUUGACCCUGAUUAUCAGGAAGAGCCAGGGCUACAGUUACACAAUGGGAGCAAAGAGGAAGAUACUUUGUUAGCACCCAGACAGUCCAGCUGGCUGUGUCUUUGUUACACCAUUGCUCAAUGUUGAGAGUAAAUAGAGAAGUGCAGCAACUAUGGCCAGAAAAGAACACGGUGACUAGGCACUCAGCGUAAGUGCUUCCUGAGGGUGAGAAGCAUCGAAAAUGCAUAGAAGAGGAAGAUGAUGUUAUCUAGUUGGGGCCUCGAGACCAGCUGUUGUGGGAAAUGUGGCUUAUCCCAUGAACCAUCAGCUUCCUGCAGAAAAAUCAAGCUGCUCCCAAAACUUAUACAAAGAAGUGGAUAUGAGUAGUAAACAGAAGGAAUAGUGGACACCAUGAUAUGCCAUUGCAGGUCCACCUUCAUGACUGAAGAGCUUCUUGUUCCUAGGUACUUGGAGUGUUGUUGGCUGACAGCCCUCAGUUACCAGUCCUCUAGGAAUUGCCCUCACGUGAUGGAGCUUCCUCGCCCGAGGUAACACCUUCCUCUCUGGGGCAUGCGUCCAGUGACUUGCUGAAGCCAGCAUAUAAAGGCCUGGUCCCCCCACCCCAAUUCAGGACUACUCAAAAGGCCAUCAUCCCAGCUUCAGAACUCUGUGGGGUCAGGCCUUUGUGGAGAUGACUUUGCACCCCACUUUCUCCCUCUGACCAGGACUGCUUCCUUCCCUUCCUCCAUAGGUGUUGAACCAGAGAACACCCCCAGUACCACAUCACAUACUAAUCUUUAUCUCACAGUCUGCUGCCCAGGGAACCCAACUCUGUCCUCAAGAUCAAUAGAGUCUGUCUGUCCAGAGAACUGGUAUUGGGAGUCGGCUCAUGGACUCUCUUUGCCUAGAAAGUGCUAGGGGCCCUGAAUACUCCCCUCUCCAGAUGUCUUUCUCUGGUAUCCCUUAGCAGAUGCCCUUGCCCUCUGACCCAUCCCUCCUCGUGGCAGGUUCCUCAUGCAGACUCCAGGUCCUAGACUAGACAUCUCUCCCGGUUUGGGGAUCUGGCAGUUAGGAAGCACCAGUUUAUUGGUUUAGCAGCAUUUGUAAAAAUCACUUCUCAGGCACUCCCCAGAGAGUUAAAUGGGCCCACUCUAAAUUAAUUAGGAUUUGAUGCCCAUGCCUUGGUGCCUUUUCCCCAGUACUUGGAAAGUAAGUUGUCUAAGACUGAUGCAAACCCUGGGUUCCAACGGUCAGGCUAAGAGGCAGCAGUAAUUGCCUUCUCCUUGCUUCAAAAUGGUAUGUAACCCAAAGCUCUAUUCAUCUAUUAUUUAGAACGGAAAGUAUUUACAAUAUUUAUCCACUUAUUCAUCCAUCCGUAUGUGAGAUCUUUUCAUAGCAGGCAGUUUCCCCUAAUUCACAACCUAAAAACAAUUCAGGAAAACAUGUGUUCUUGUCAUCAAGGAUACAGCUUGAGCUGCCAGGCCAAAGCACUUCAGGUCAAGUCUUCCAGAACCAGAUCAAAAUCCCUUCGCAAAAGAGACAUCCCGGUCCUUAAACAAGAGAUUAGUAACAGCCUAGGGCUGCUUUGACCAUCUUCACCACCUUUGGGGAGAAAUUACCUGAGCCCAUGAGAACGGAGAGAGAGAGAGAAAUAGUGUCUUGACAUCAUCAUUUGAGUACUUGGAUCCCGCCAAGUCACUGUUUCAGUUAUGCAAACCAAUAAAUUCCAUUUAAUUAAGAUAGUUCUGUGUUAAGAGUUCUGUAUCUUGGAGCUGUAAGUAUUCUGACAAAACCUUUGCUUUCCAGGCCCUCACGGGCUGGGUCCCUCCACCUUAUUACUCUCCUCCUGUGGGUUAUCACUUCAAAACACUGACUCAUUGCUCCCCCCCCUCCCCCCCCGCAAAAGCCUGUCCCUUUCUUACCGUCACACCAUUGAUUACAUUAUUCUCAUGAGAACCUGCCCAU